RNAcentral lists this long non-coding RNA (269 nucleotides) under Homo sapiens (human). Its description in RNAcentral is "HSALNT0157809". Lineage: Eukaryota; Metazoa; Chordata; Mammalia; Primates; Hominidae. The record is from RNAcentral.
AUUCUCCCGUGUGCUUGCUCCCACCGGCUGUGUGCGAGCCUGGGGAGGGGGAGGGAUUGCCUGUGGCAGGAGAGAGGCACACUGCUAAGUCAGCCUGAGCCCCUGGGGUAGGCUGCGCUCAGGAAGGUCCCUGCCCGGAAAAAUGACGUGCUCACCAGAGCCGUUUGGUGUAGAAACUGAAAUCUGUAGAAUUGCCAGUAGUAUAGACAACCUUAUAUGGACAUGCAGGCAGCUGAUCCUCGUGAAAAUCAGGGCAGACAUAAUUUAAU